This 255-nucleotide ribosomal RNA is filed under the name uncultured bacterium. Its description in RNAcentral is "partial 16S ribosomal RNA". It matches the Rfam family "Bacterial small subunit ribosomal RNA", at positions 524 to 776 of the family's 1533-position model. The record is from RNAcentral.
GACAUAGGUCGCAAACGUUAUCCGGAAUUAUUGGGCGUAAAGGAUGCGUAGCUGGUUCAGUAAGUUACUGGUGGGAAAUCGAGGCCCAACCUCGUGGAAGUUAGUAAUACUGUUGAACUUGAGUGCAGGAGAGGUUAACGGAACUUCAUGUGGAGCGGUAAAAUGCGUAGAUAUAUGAAAGAACAUCAAUAUGGCGAAGGCAGUUAACUAUUCUGCUACUGACAUUGAGGCAUGAAAGCGUGGGGAGCAAAACGG